This is a long non-coding RNA of Alligator mississippiensis (American alligator), 2703 nucleotides long. RefSeq lists it as uncharacterized. The record is from RefSeq and is a predicted model, not a curated record. Lineage: Eukaryota; Metazoa; Chordata; Crocodylia; Alligatoridae. The transcript has 2 exons.
GGCCCGAGCUCUGGGGCUGCGAUUUUUCUACCCCAUCCGUUAGCCCUCCUCCACCCCUCAGAUGGAUAAUGCUUCCUCACCACCUCUACCCUCUGCACACUAUCCAGCCCUCUCCCACACAACCCACCAAUCCUCCCCCUAACCUCCUGAAUGUCUGUAUGCACCCUUAAAUUAGGCGGCAGAAGCAGAGGGAAGCUACCAAGGAGGACUGUACCUACUUGGCCUGCACUUGCAGGGAGGCAGUUAGAAAGGCCGAAGGAACUACAGAGCUGAGGCUAGCAACACAAAGACAACAAGAAGUCUUUUUAGGUAUGUAGGGAGUAAAAGAAAGGCUCAGGGUAGCAUAGGACCCCUACUGAACAAGUAGGAGCAGUUAGUGACAGACAGGGGGAACAAGGCUGAGCUAUUCAAUGAGUUUUUUGCCUCGAUGUUCCUGAACGGGGCUCAAGAUAAGUCUCCUAAUGGGUUCUUAGGUAGUCAUCAGAGGGACACCAGCCUGCCAACUGUCAGUGCUUACUUGGUGCAGAGUCACGUGGAUGGGCUGGAUGUGUUCAAGUCAGCAGGCCCGGAUGAGCUGCAUCCAAGGUUACUGAAGGAAUUGGCCAGUGUCAUAGCAGAACCACUGGCACAGCUGUUUGAAUGCUUGUGACACUCGGAUCAGGUCCUGGAGGCCUGGAAAAGGGCCAGUGUGGUCCCUAUUUUCAAGAAGGCGAGGAAGGAGGAUCUGAGAAAUUAUAGGCCAGUCAGUUGCACCUCCAUUCUUGCAAAGGUCUUUGAAAAGAUUAUGAAUGAUCAUAUUUGUGGGAGUCCAGUGGGAAAAAUAAUGCAGCAGGGAAGCCAGCAUGGAUUUGUAGGAGGUAGUUCAUGCCUGACCAAUCUGGUUUCAUUUUUUGACAGGGUCACAAAAUGCUUAGAUGCAGGAGUAGAGGUGGAUGUUGUUUUCUUGGACUUUAGAAACUACCGUCUUCGAUAUGGUAUUUCAUUCUAUUCUCAUAAAUAAAUUAAGAGACUGUGACAUAGAUGUUUGCAUGUUCUGGUGGGUGGCAAAUUGGCUUAGCAGUCACACCCCUAGAGUGGUAGUAGAUGGGUUGUUAUCAAUCUGGAAGGAUGUGGGUAGUGAGGUCCCACAGGGUUUGGUCCUUGGACGUGUACUCUUCAAUAUCUUCAUCAGUGAGUUGGAUGUGGGUGUGAAGUGUACUCUGUCCAAGUUUGCAGAUGAUACUAAAUUGUGGGGUGAAGUGGACACUCUGGAGGGUAGGGAACUAUUGUAGGCAGACCUGGACAGGUUAGAAAAGUGGGCAGUACACAAUAGGAUGCAGUAUAAGGACAAGUGCAGAGUGCUGCCUCUAGGGUGCAAAAACAUUCAGCAUGCCUACUGGCUGGGAAGUGACCCUCUCAGCAGCACAGAAGCAGAAAGGGAUCUUGGAGUCCUAGUGGACUCCAAGAUGAAUGUGAUUUGUCAGCAUAACAAAAUCAUCAGCAAAGCUUAACCUCACUUUAUCAUGCAUGACAAAUAGAUCCAAGGAGGUGAUACUUUCCCUGUAUGCAGCAUUGGUCUGCAGUUGGAGUACUGUGUCCAGUUUUGGGCACUGUAGUUGGUGUGUGCUCUUCCUGGAUGGAAUGAAAAGUAAAGAAGCCAGAUGCUGGGCUGGUAUGCAUACAAGAUAAGCAGUCAGUGAAGAUGUAGAUUGAGGAGUCAAUGGGUGAGAGGCAGGCUGGGUGGGGGGGAGAGAAGGGGGAUGAAUAGUGGAGAGGUACCUGGGGAGUCAGAUGUCAGGCAGGUUAUAUAUAAUGUGUCGUAAAUCCAAUGUCUAUAUUUAGUCCAUGAUUUUUAGUAUCCAGCUGGGCCUUUUCUCAUGUCCAGAUGCAGAUUGGCUGUCGUUCUGAUGACAUCAGUGAAAAAGAAGAGCUGAAAUGCUUCUCCCCUGUGGUCAUACCCAGAUGUUGGGUCAAAAAGCAGAGGUUGCGGCCUCAUUUACAUCAUAGCGCUGAAGGGAAGUCAGCUAGGGAAAGUUCCUGUCAUUAUUAAGAGAGCUGUGCAGGCUCCUUUCUUUCAGCUCGGCAGCGUAACUCUUCCCCCAUUCUCUGCUUUGAGACGAGUUCAGUCAUGGAUAUGGAGUGGAUGCUAGGGCUGCAGAGCCCAGUGCAGCUGUUUGCAGCCUGCCUACUUCCUGCUGCAGCUCCCCAGAGCCAAGGCUGGCUACAGGCAAAGGCCGGUAGUGGCACUGGGCUUUUCUGGGCUACACUUCUUACCUGGUAAGACAGCCUCUGUGGUGAGUCAUAGAAAUGGAGCAGCAGCGCGGGGAAAAACUGUGGCUCCGGGUCACGACGUGGAGGGAUUCUCUGAACGAGAGGAAAAAGAGAGAGACAGAGAGAGGGUGGGGGAGCAGCUGAUCCUGCUCUGAAGACACAGGAUCCCGAUCCCUCACCGGAGAAUGAAGGGAGGUGUGGAGACAGAAAGAGAAAGUAAAAGGAAAACUGUGACUGAGCCGCGCUUCGCAUACUGGCACAAACCGCAGACGGGGAAUCCCGGUGUCGGUGUUAAUCAGCCGCUAACGAGUCAAUUAGUGGCUGAUCUUCAAGAUAACAAGUAGUGCUUACCGUCUGAGACAGAUGGCGAGGACCCACGUGGCAAACUCCUUUUUUUGUUGCCUGUCGUUCUUAGAGAGCUUAGGCUAAUGAUAUUAAAACACUCUGGACAGA